Long non-coding RNA from Homo sapiens (human), 5699 nucleotides. Ensembl annotates it as BTG1 divergent transcript. Its record names the gene BTG1-DT. Lineage: Eukaryota; Metazoa; Chordata; Mammalia; Primates; Hominidae. The record is from Ensembl.
CAGGCUCUGCGCCAGUGCAUCCUUCUCCAAGAGUGCGCUGCCUGGGCCCGCUUGCCCUGGAGUUAACUUCAGCAGUCAACGGAGAGAAGAGUGGAAACCUUACUGGAUGCGGACAGGAGAGCCAGUUACUGAAAGCAGAUAUAACGCGGAUCCUGUAAAGAGUGAAUUGUAUAUUUCCACAUAUGCUGGACAAUAGGCAGAAAGUGGAGACCCAAAGAACUUGUGAUAUGACGGACAUAAGAAGCUUCAGUUGGCCUCAAAUGUCAAAUAAUAUCCUUCCUGAAUAAUCAAGAAUGUCAAGCUUUUACUUUCUACAUCUUGGACUGUACUUUGUACCAAUCUCAAGUCCCAUAUGAUGCACUUUCUAGGUGAAAAGUUUUUUUUUACAGACCUUAAAUUUUUCUUUAUUUACUUUUUAGAGUGAUGGUAUAUAUUAGUUUCACCACGUUAGUAAUUCAUGCUAUAUAAAUGAUAAGCCAAAGUAAGAAAAAUAGUGAAAUGAAUUGCAAAUCUAACUACAUUUUUUAGUUUCCAUAAUCACCACAGAAAUUGCUGUUAGUGCACUUGAUCCAAGAAGAGUCAUUCACAAUCUCUCCCUUGCAUGUUUCCCACCUGGAUACAGAUUCGUUUAGAGGUCAGCCUCUGACACAAGAUCAGUCAAUCCAAUGCCUGCCAUUAUAGUUUUGGAAAGGUGCCUAAAAAGACAUUAAUUUUCCUCCAAAUGACAGAAACUAAAGGCAGGUGAAUGCGGCAGCUAUUGGUGUACUUGGAUGCUGAGGAUCAGGCAGAGUGGCUUGGUAAUGAGAGAGAUGAAUGAGACAGACACCCAGAGAGAAAGGAAAUUAAGGAGCAGUAAAAGCAUUUUACACCCCUCCCUCCACUCUGCCAACCCUCAGGGCUCAUACACUUUUGCUAACUAUAUCACUUAUGUGCUGUUGUAUACCAAAUUACCUCAAAACUAAGUGGCUUAACACAACAGCAUGUAUUAUCCCACAAUUUCUGUGGGCUGAGAAUCUAGACAGGGAGUAGUUGGAUCCCCUGUGUCAGAGUCUUCCACGAGUUUGCAGUCAAAGUCCUGACUGAGGUUGUGGUUUCAUCUGAAAUUUCAAAUGGGGAAGGAUCCUUUCCCAAGUUCACUCAUAUGGCUGCAGUAGGAUUCAGUUUCCUGCAGACUGUUACACUAAUAGCCUCAGUUUCUCACCACCUGUUGGCCAGAGGCUGCACUCAGUUUCUUGUCACAUAAGCUUCUCAGCUCACAGCAUGGCAUCUGCCUUUGUCAGAGUGAAAAGAGAAAAAGCCACCAAGAAGGAAGUCAUGGUCUAAUCUUGGAGGAGAAUCUUAUGACUUUUGCUGCUCUCUUCUUGUUAGAAGCCACUACAUCCAGCCUCUACUCAUGGGAAGGAAAUGACACAAGGUGUGGGUAUCAGGAGGCAGAAAUCUUUGAGAGCUGUUUUAAAAGCAACCUAACACACUGACAUAUUUCAGUCCUUAGGCACUGUAAAAUAGCCCAAAUAUCCCUGCAGUACAUCUGAAUGCUUGCCUAAAUUCUCCAAAAUUCUUUUCUAUUAUUUACAAUCAAAACUUCUUACAUAUAUCGAAUAGUUUAAUUAAAUCCAAAUUUAGAAUCAAGAGGCAAUUGUAUUAUGAGAAAAUAUAUUACUACAUUUCUAAGUUCCUUUGUCACACAUACACAAACACAACUAACAGAGUAUUUAAUAGUGAUAAAGGCUGAGAUAUGAGAAAACAAAAUACUAGGAAUUCUUACUACUAGGAAAAUAAAUCCUAUGAAGAUGAAAAUUGCUGAAAUUUUCAAGUAGAUAGUGAAAAUACAUGGUGGUUGUGGCAUUUCUUCCUCUCCUCCCCUUCUUCCUCCUCCUCCUCCUCCUCAUCCUCCUCCUCCUUCUUCUUUUAAAACCCUAAAUACUUUCAUGGAGGUCAUUUAUUUUUCCAUGCUUUUCAUUUUCUAAACAUCUUAGUUUUCUCUCAUCAUCUUAUACAGUGGAAAAAGUAAGCAAAAAAAAUAGGAUAACACUAUGAUAAAUUUGAAUGUUUCUCUGCUUCAGAUUACAAGGUACGUUUUUGUGGUAAUUAUAAAAAUUGAAAAAAAAAUGGUGAAAACCCCUUAUCUUGGGUUACUGUGUCAAGUAGGAAGUUGAGCAGCAUUUCAAAAAACACCUUUAGCAAAAGUCCCCUCCCUGGUUUUUCCUGCAAACAUUAACCUCAAGCGUUUAGUUCCUUCCAUAUUAUUUAUACAUUUAACCUCAAAAUUUUAUUUAAGAAGUCACAAGAAGAUCUAAGAAAAGGCCCAAAUGUCAGCCAUCUGUGGACCAGACCUGAAAAUCUUCCUGGAGGAGAUGAAAACCUCUCAUUUCAUAGAACUGAAAAAGGGCCAUUGUAUAGACCAGCAGCUGCGGUGCAGCUCCUCCAGGUCUCACCACUGAAUCAGGAAUCCUAUAAAUAUGCACCUCAACCACAUAAACAGUUUCUCUUCAGUUUCUGGAUUGGAGUUUAUCUUUGCUGUGCAGAAUCAAUUUAGCUUUGGACAGAAAAAUUUGCAAGAAAUCAAAAAAGCGGGUUUAAAAAGCAAACAAAGAGACAGGAUGGGCACGAUUUCCUAAACAUACCAGAACAGAGCCAUGUGUUGGAUGCUAUAUAAGAAAGCAAAGAAAUUCCCAAAAGAUUACCUCAAGUUGGUUUCUCAUUUUGGUAAAGAUUUCUUGUGUCUCUUGGUUCUAUCAAUUUAAAUAGAGCCUGAAAGAUACAAUGACAGUAUAAACUAUGUCCAAAAGACCUCCGAAUCGGAAAGGGAAGUUUGGUGCCUCCCAAAAGGAGGGUGAGGGGCAGGAGAAUAUGGUGAAUAUAUAUCACUUUUCGCAGGCGCCUCUUCUGGAUUUUGACCGUUAUAAAGCAGAACAAAUAGAUAAAGAAAGAAGACUCACAAAUGGCUUUUUUCAUUAAGAUGAUAUACCUUUCAUUUCUACUUUUUCUCAGUUGAUAAGCCCCAAAAUAACACAGAGACACUGAAAAAAGCCUUCUUACAACCUUCUUACAAUUUUCUAUACUGCCAGUUUCACCAGCCUUUUAGGUGUUGGUUGGGACCCUACUGGCCUCUAACGCUGGUUUUUUCAGUAGUGUAUCCACCAACUGGUUCUGAUUGGCACUUUUCAUCUUCAAAUAUGCGAUGUUCUGCCUCACUGACAAUGGCAGAUGGGCCAGUAAAUCUCAAUCUUGACCUCACAUUAGGAUCACCUGGGAAAGUGUUAGAAAAACAAAAUCCCAGUGUCCAGGCUUCUCCCUGGACCAAUCAAAUCUGAAUCUCUAAUGGUAGGAUUCAUGCACUGAUAUUUUUUGAAGCUUCCCAAUGACUGCCAUGUGUGGCCAAAGCUGAAAACCCCUGUUAGAUUCUAUUUUGGUAUAUUAACUAUGAUCUUAACUAAUGAAAGUUGCUGAACUGCUGGGGAACUUGACUAAGCAAUGGAAUAUCCCUUAGAAACACAAUGAACACCCACUAAUUUUAGGCAGUAACACAAAAUUAUUGGGGCCUUAAUAUUCUCUUUAGAGAAAUACAUUCCACAGAAUUCCACAAGUUGUAGAUGACAUGUUCUCGCUUAUGAAAGAAUAUGCCACCAGGUUCAUAGGAGAAAAAAUAUGGUGCUGCUUUUACUAAGCCACCAAAGAGAACAACAUAAGAAAAUCAUCAAUUCCUAACUAUGGUGAAAGUGCCUAUAAUAUAUCACAAACAUGAGAAGCAACCUUUUCACCAUUAAGUGGACUCUGACAAAGCAGUUAAUAGAAUCUUGAAGUCUAGAAGGAAUCCUUUAAGAUGUGUAAUAAUACUAUUCUACACCUGAGGAACUUAGGGUCAGAGAUAAGUGGCUAGUCUGAUAAUUUACUGCUCAUGAGGGGUGUUAUAAAAACUGCCCUUGUCCUCAUUCCUAGUCCAGGGGUUGCAUUUUUAAUGUACACAGAAGCAUUUAAUUUCAUGUAUGGCCAAUAGUAAACGCUCAAUAAAUUGUAGCUGUUGGGAGAAGUAAUGAUGAUAGUAUUAAUGAUCACAUUGGUAAUAAUAAUGUCUACGGGGUUUUCCAGUGUUAUAAACACUGCCUUAAAAUCCUUAGCAAAUAAAAAACUAUUUCUUGCUGGGCACAGUGGCUCAUGCCUGUAAUACCUGCUACUCAGGAGGCUGAGGUGGGAGGAUUGAUUGAGGCCAGGAGUUCAAGGCCACCCUGGGCAACAUAGCAAGACCCCAUCUCUAAAAACAACCAACCAAACAAAAACCUAUUUCUUUUGUUGAUGACACCUUAUUUAUUUGAAACACAAGAAAUUUAAAAAGCAAAAUAAUAAACAGGGGAAAUAAAAAGCCUUUCAUUUAGAGCUGCAAUGAAAAUUUAGCAUAGUCUUUCACUAUUGAAUGACUCAUCAGUUGAACACUUUAUGUAAUUAAUUAUAAAAUAUAUGUAAUUUGAUCUGAUUUUGUCUAGAAGAUUCUAGAGUAUCAUUUUCCUUAUGCAAAUACUAUACAUAUGUUUAUAUCUAAAGAGUUAAAGGUACUUUCACAGGUUAUUUAAUUCAAUUCUCACAUACAAUUAGAAAACGGAGAUAUUAUCCCUCCUUCUUUAAAAUUAAAAAAACAUAAGCUCAGAGAAUGAAAGGGGACGUGGCUAAAGUGGCUCCACUAAUAAGUGGCAUGGCCAGUAGUUCAUCACAGGUUUUCCACCUUUGAGACUGUCCUUAGGUUACUUCUUUGGACUAUGUCACUCUGGCCUUUUGAAUAAUUAACUUUACAGAGCAAGAGUGUAAUGCUAUGUCCCUGGCUUUCAUCAGGCAAAAUGUGAAACACAUCCAUUUGAAAACUUGCUUUUUGAAAACACAGGACCUCAUUAUGUUGUUCAGUGUCUCUCCUUUAAAUUCUCAACGACAAAUUAUUCUCCGAGUUCAGAGUCAGGAAAGUAUCUAUAUCAUCCACCAAAACCGGGAGCUUUCUUUUGUUAGAUCUAGAGAGUUAUAUGAUCCAUUGAAUGUCCCUCCUUGCCUUGGCUUCUAGGGUGCUCAGAGCAAAGUUUUAUACUUAGUCACUCCGGUUCUGGUUCUUCUCAAUCCAAGUUUCUAUUGCAUCCUCUCUCUCUUCCCCUUCACCUCCCAAACCACUACCACCUUUAAUAUAUUACUUUCGCUUUUUGUAUUUAUCAGUGAUUCAAUUUUAUUUUACUGUGAUUUUGGUAAACAUCCGUAGUGUUCAACUACUUGGCAGAUUUGUCCCCCUUUUUGUGAUAAUAGAACUCUAACACUUCUUGGUUACAUCACAUGUUUUACUAUCUGAUGAUUAUGUUGGUCAUCAAUCCUUCUUCUGCAAGGAACACAAUAUAACAACAUUACAAUGCAUCUUUGUUUUGUUUUUGCUGAUUUGGGUAGAACAUAGCAAAAAUAAAAAUGCGUUCAUUUUCUGUCAUUUUGGUAAUAAAUCUGAAGCCAUGCUUAACAGAAUAGUUUUAAGUUUAAAAUGAAAUAAUUUUAUAAAUAUUUUACCCUUUUAAAACAAGGACGUCUCAGUUCUUAUGGCAUCAAGAUGCUCAAAUUAAAUUCACAAGGCUCUUCAGGACCAAUUAUAUCGGUGUUUAACCCUCCCAGUGUCUUUUUUGCAUCUUAAUAUCAUUGAUUUCUUUACCAAUAAUGCCAAAUACAGAAACUACCCCUGCUUA